This 504-nucleotide ribosomal RNA is filed under the name uncultured bacterium. RNAcentral's name for it is "partial 16S ribosomal RNA". It matches the Rfam family "Bacterial small subunit ribosomal RNA", at positions 29 to 523 of the family's 1533-position model. The record is from RNAcentral.
AUUGAACGCUGGCGGCAGGCCUAACACAUGCAAGUCGAACGGUAGCACAGAGAGCUUGCUCUCGGGUGACGAGUGGCGGACGGGUGAGUAAUGUCUGGGAAACUGCCCGAUGGAGGGGGAUAACUACUGGAAACGGUAGCUAAUACCGCAUAACGUCGCAAGACCAAAGUGGGGGACCUUCGGGCCUCACACCAUCGGAUGUGCCCAGAUGGGAUUAGCUAGUAGGUGGGGUAAUGGCUCACCUAGGCGACGAUCCCUAGCUGGUCUGAGAGGAUGGCCAGCCAAACUGGAACGGAGACACGGUCCAGACUCCUACGGGAGGCAGGAGUGGGGAAUAUUGCACAAUGGGCGCAAGCCUGAUGCAGCCAUGCCGCGUGUAUGAAGAAGGCCUUCGGGUUGUAAAGUACUUUCAGCGGGGAGGAAGGCGGUGGAGUUAAUAGCUUCACCGAUUGACGUUACCCGCAGAAGAAGCACCGGCUAACUCCGUGCCAGCAGCCGCGGUAA